RNAcentral lists this ribosomal RNA (332 nucleotides) under Vaejovis sp. LP3711. Its description in RNAcentral is "partial 12S ribosomal RNA". The record is from RNAcentral. Lineage: Eukaryota; Metazoa; Arthropoda; Arachnida; Scorpiones; Vaejovidae.
UAAAAAUUAUAAAAUUAAGUAGUAAAGAAUUUUCUGAAACUUAAAGAAUUUGGCGGUAUUUUAACUAAUUGGAGGAACCUGUUAUUUAAUUGACAUUACACAUUUAAUUUUUCCCAAAAUUUGUUUGUAUAUCGUUGUUUUCAGAUAAUAUUUUAAAAUUAUUAUCGAUAUUAAUUUAAUUUUAUAAAUCAAAUCAAGGUGCAGCAUUUUUGGGUAUUAAUGGGUUACAAUAUAUUUAAUAUACUACGAAUUAAAUAUUAAAAUAUAAUGAAGGUGGAUUCAAAAGUAAUUUAAAAUUAAAUAGUUUUUUUGAUUUAUGAUUUAAAAUAUGC